GGUGGCUCAAUGGUAGAGUGCUUGCCUUGCAUGCAGGAGGUCCUGGGUUCGAUUCCUUAGCACCA
This 65-nucleotide transfer RNA is filed under the name Dipodomys ordii (Ord's kangaroo rat). It matches the Rfam family "tRNA". From Rfam's summary of the family: Transfer RNA (tRNA) molecules are approximately 80 nucleotides in length. Their secondary structure includes four short double-helical elements and three loops (D, anti-codon, and T loops). Lineage: Eukaryota; Metazoa; Chordata; Mammalia; Rodentia; Heteromyidae. The record is from Rfam by way of RNAcentral.